ACUCCUACGGGAGGCAGCAGUGGGGAAUAUUGCACAAUGGGGGAAGCCCCUGAUGCAGCCAUGCCGCGUGUGUGAAGAAGGCCUUCGGGUUGUAAAGCACUUUCAGUAGGGAGGAAGGUAGUGUAGUUAACACCUGCACUAUUUGACGUUACCUACAGAAGAAGCACCGGCUAACUCCGUGCCAGCAGCCGCGGUAAGUACGGAGGGUGCGAGCGUUAAUCGGAAUUACGUGGGCGUAAAGCGCAUGCAGGCGGCCUGUUAAGUCAGAUGUGAAAGCCCGGGGUCUUAACCUCGGAAUUGCAUUUGAAACUGGCAGGCUAGAGUCUUGUAGAGGGGUUAGAAUUUCAGGUGUAGCGGUGAAAUGCGUAGAGAUCUGAAGGAAUACCGAGUGGCGAAGGCGGCCCCCGUGGAC
Molecule: ribosomal RNA, 412 nt
Filed under: uncultured bacterium
Lineage: Bacteria
Description: bacterial SSU rRNA
Rfam family: Bacterial small subunit ribosomal RNA
Source: RNAcentral